RNAcentral lists this ribosomal RNA (448 nucleotides) under uncultured organism. RNAcentral describes it as "partial 16S ribosomal RNA". It matches the Rfam family "Bacterial small subunit ribosomal RNA", at positions 335 to 799 of the family's 1533-position model. The record is from RNAcentral.
ACUCCUGCGGGAGGCAGCAGUGGGGAAUAUUGGACAAUGGGCGCAAGCCUGAUCCAGCCAUGCCGCGUGAGUGAUGAAGGCCCUAGGGUUGUAAAGCUCUUUCACCGGUGAAGAUAUUGACGGUAACCGGAGAAGAAGCCCCGGCUAACUUCGUGCCAGCAGCCGCGGUAAUACGAAGGGGGCUAGCGUUGUUCGGAUUUACUGGGCGUAAAGCGCACGUAGGCGGACUAUUAAGUCAGGGGUGAAAUCCCGGGGCUCAACCCCGGAACUGCCUUUGAUACUGGUAGUCUUGAGUUCGAGAGAGGUGAGUGGAAUUCCGAGUGUAGAGGUGAAAUUCGUAGAUAUUCGGAGGAACACCAGUGGCGAAGGCGGCUCACUGGCUCGAUACUGACGCUGAGGUGCGAAAGCGUGGGGAGCAAACAGGAUUGGAUACCCUUGUAGUCCCAUG